GACGGAGGGUGCAAGCGUUGUCCGGAAUCAUUGGGCGUAAAGAGUUCGUAGGUGGUAUGUUAAGUCUGGUGUUAAAUCCCGAAGCUCAACUUCGGUUCGGCAUUGGAUACUGGCAAACUUGAAUGCGGUAGAGGUAAAGGGAAUUCCUGGUGUAGCGGUGAAAUGCGUAGAUAACAGGAGGAACAUCGGUGGCGAAAGCGCUUUACUGGGCCGUCAUUGACACUGAGGAACGAAAGCCGGGGUAGCAAAUGGG
RNAcentral lists this ribosomal RNA (253 nucleotides) under uncultured Vampirovibrio sp. Its description in RNAcentral is "partial 16S ribosomal RNA". It matches the Rfam family "Bacterial small subunit ribosomal RNA", at positions 524 to 776 of the family's 1533-position model. The record is from RNAcentral. Lineage: Bacteria; Bacillati; Candidatus Melainabacteria; Vampirovibriophyceae; Vampirovibrionales; Vampirovibrionaceae.